UUUAAAAUCAAUUUGAGUUCUUAAUUCAUUUUGGUGGUGUUUGUUAUUUACAAGGCUUGUCUCGGCGACUUCUGCUGGUUAGUGGUAACAUUGAUUACGUUUAAACGUUGCACUAACCGGUAGUGGGACGCGGUGAUGACGCAUGCAACACAUUAAAGUAAAAGCCUGUUAAGAUUGUGUGUGAAAAAAUGUCGUUAUCUUUUUUUUGAAUUCGAAUCAACGUUUAUGUGCCGACCUUGAGCAGCCAAUUGCAUAGUAGCUUUAUUUCUUUGCACUGGCCUGCCCAGGGGCGCUGUGUAGACCAUCGACGUCAUGACAACUAAACGUUAUUUUAACCUUACGAUUCUACAGAAAAAUUUUCACAUUUGGGAUGUUUUGCUCGAAAUAGAAAAUGUUCGCAACAACAACGUUCGUCAUUGACUUCGAAACGCCCAGUUGCUUUGUGGCAUCAAGACUUCAUUGCACUGUACGGUUCGAGGCGAAUGACGAGAAACGUGAGAAAACUACUAUACUCGCCAUUUUGUUUUAUUCAUUUUCUUACUGUAAUUUUUGUGGAAAUCAAUACAAACCUUGCAUGCUAUUCAUUUAUUGUUAUCGUCAGCUUUUUUCGCAUUGUUUCAAAAGUCUUAAAACUAAGUUUGGGUCGUUGGUAAAGUUGCAAGGUUUUGAAAAGGUGAAGUGUCGAUUGUCGACAUUGAGCUUUUGCAAGGCCGCGAUGUUGCUGAAUAAUAAACUCGAAAUAAUUUUGGUUGAAAAGAGUUUACUGCGCAUGUCAUGAUUAUUUGGGGUGUUCUUAUCCUCCCUUGGCAUAAGCUUCCACGUUUGUGUAAAUCUUCUUACCAGCGUGCUUCCAUCGAAGGGUUUGCCAGUCGCGUUGUUCAUCGUCGUAGGGAACAGACGUCCAUUUUUGUUGCUCUCACAGUGUGCCCUAAUUCAUUGCUGGAAUUGUUUUUGCUGCUUGCGAGUACGACGAGUGUGAAUCGGUUAUUGACGUUGCAAGUAAUUUGCUCUACAUAGUGCUCUCGCGUUGCAUGGGAAUCCAAUCUGGUCCUGAUAGUCCGUUGGGAAUAAG
Long non-coding RNA from Daphnia magna, 1072 nucleotides. RefSeq lists it as uncharacterized. The record is from RefSeq and is a predicted model, not a curated record. The transcript is spliced from 2 exons. Lineage: Eukaryota; Metazoa; Arthropoda; Branchiopoda; Diplostraca; Daphniidae.